Molecule: transfer RNA, 77 nt
Filed under: Candidatus Competibacteraceae bacterium
Lineage: Bacteria; Pseudomonadati; Pseudomonadota; Gammaproteobacteria; Candidatus Competibacteraceae
Description: tRNA-Trp
Rfam family: tRNA
About the family: Transfer RNA (tRNA) molecules are approximately 80 nucleotides in length.
Source: RNAcentral
UAGUCAGUAGCUCAAUUUGGCAGAGCACCGAACUCCAAAUCCGGGGGUUGUAGGUUCAAGUCCUACCUGGCUAGCCA